AGGGAAUAUUGGACAAUGGGCGCAAGCCUGAUCCAGCCAUGCCGCGUGAGUGAAGAAGGCCCUCGGGUUGUAAAGCUCUUUUGUCCGGAAAGAAAAGCAUCGGGUUAAUACCCCGGUGUUCUGACGGUACCGGAAGAAUAAGCACCGGCUAACUUCGUGCCAGCAGCCGCGGUAAUACGAAGGGUGCAAGCGUUACUCGGAAUUACUGGGCGUAAAGCGUGCGUAGGUGGUUCGUUAAGUCUGAUGUGAAAGCCCUGGGCUCAACCUGGGAAUGGCAUUGGAAACUGGCGGACUGGAGGGCGGUAGAGGGUAGCGGAAUUCCCGGUGUAGCAGUGAAAUGCGUAGAGAUCGGGAGGAACAGCUGUGGCGAAGGCGGCUACCUGGACCAGCACUGACACUGAGGCACGAAAGCGUGGGGAGCAAACA
RNAcentral lists this ribosomal RNA (426 nucleotides) under uncultured bacterium. RNAcentral's name for it is "bacterial SSU rRNA". It matches the Rfam family "Bacterial small subunit ribosomal RNA", at positions 356 to 774 of the family's 1533-position model. The record is from RNAcentral.